RNAcentral lists this ribosomal RNA (467 nucleotides) under uncultured bacterium. Its description in RNAcentral is "partial 16S ribosomal RNA". It matches the Rfam family "Bacterial small subunit ribosomal RNA", at positions 29 to 507 of the family's 1533-position model. The record is from RNAcentral.
ACGAACGCUGGCGGCGUGCUUAACACCUGCCAGUCGCACGGAAAGGCCCUGCUUUUGUGGGGUGCUCAAGUGGCGAACGGGUGAGUAACACGUGAGUAACCUGCCCUUGACUUUGGGAUAACUUCAGGAAACUGGGGCUAAUACCGGAUAGGAGCUCCUGCUGCAUGGUGGGGGUUGGAAAGUUUCGGCGGUUGGGGAUGGACUCGCGGCUUAUCAGCUUGUUGGUGGGGUAGUGGCUUACCAAGGCCUUGACGGGUAGCCGGCCUGAGAGGGUGACCGGCCACAUUGGGACUGAGAUACGGCCCAGACUCCUACGGGAGGCAGCAGUGGGGAAUAUUGCACAAUGGGCGGAAGCCUGAUGCAGCAACGCCGCGUGCGGGAUGACGGCCUUCGGGUUGUAAACCGCUUUCGCCUGUGACGAAGCGUGAGUGACGGUAAUGGGUAAAGAAGCACCGGCUAACUACGUG